This 253-nucleotide ribosomal RNA is filed under the name uncultured bacterium. Its description in RNAcentral is "partial 16S ribosomal RNA". It matches the Rfam family "Bacterial small subunit ribosomal RNA", at positions 524 to 776 of the family's 1533-position model. The record is from RNAcentral.
UACAGAGGUCCCAAGCGUUGUUCGGAUUCACUGGGCGUAAAGGGCGCGUAGGCGGCCCGCUAAGUCGAACGUGAAAUCCCCAGGCUCAACCUGGGAACUGCGUCCGAUACUGGCAGGCUUGAAUCCGGGAGAGGGAUGUGGAAUUCCAGGUGUAGCGGUGAAAUGCGUAGAUAUCUGGAGGAACACCGGUGGCGAAGGCGGCAUCCUGGACCGGCAUUGACGCUGAGGCGCGAAAGCUAGGGGAGCAAACGGG